RNAcentral lists this long non-coding RNA (380 nucleotides) under Carica papaya (papaya). RNAcentral describes it as "long non-coding RNA (CPAP_LNC006198)". Lineage: Eukaryota; Viridiplantae; Streptophyta; Magnoliopsida; Brassicales; Caricaceae. The record is from RNAcentral.
CCACUCAGAAAACCGCCCCCUGUAUGAGGAUCCAUUUUCCCUCCUAUAAAAAUCUCUCCACUCUCAUUCCUUCCCUACCAACAAUCUCACUCCUAUUCAAUUUCCUUCUAAAAUUUUCCUCUCUAAUAUCAUCAGACUCUCUUUUUCCUGAAAAUUAUCAGCUCUCUUUGGAAGGAUUAUAGUAUUCCAAAGGAAACAUCCUAUGGACACCAAGAUUGGAUCGCUUGAGACCUGCAAACCCACCUGCAACGACAUCGGAAGCGGACCAAACGGUGACGUCUCCACCAUCCAGAACUCCGUCACAUCAACACUCAUCAAGGAUUACGAGGCAACCCUCGGCCGCCACCUCGCUCGCCGCCUUGUCCAAAUCGGUGUCACCG